Otolemur garnettii (small-eared galago) is the source of this 145-nucleotide small nuclear RNA. Its record names the gene U1. It matches the Rfam family "U1 spliceosomal RNA". Rfam says of the family: U1 is a small nuclear RNA (snRNA) component of the spliceosome (involved in pre-mRNA splicing). Its 5' end forms complementary base pairs with the 5' splice junction, thus defining the 5' donor site of an intron. NCBI's taxonomy places the organism in Eukaryota, Metazoa, Chordata, Mammalia, Primates, Galagidae. The record is from Ensembl.
AUACUUCCUGGCAGGAGAAAUACCAUGAUCACAAAGGUAGUUCUCCCACAGCGAGGCUUAUCCAUUGCACUCCAGAUGGGCUGACCCCUGCGAUUUCCUCAAAUGUGGGAAAUGUAAUUGCAUAAUUUGUAGUAGUGGAAGACUG